GAUGAACGCUGGCGGCGUGCCUAAUACAUGCAAGUCGAGCGAACAGAUGAGGAGCUUGCUCCUCUGACGUUAGCGGCGGACGGGUGAGUAACACGUGGAUAACCUACCUAUAAGACUGGGAUAACUUCGGGAAACCGGAGCUAAUACCGGAUAAUAUAUUGAACCGCAUGGUUCAAUAGUGAAAGACGGUUUUGCUGUCACUUAUAGAUGGAUCCGCGCCGCAUUAGCUAGUUGGUAAGGUAACGGCUUACCAAGGCAACGAUGCGUAGCCGACCUGAGAGGGUGAUCGGCCACACUGGAACUGAGACCCGUUCCAGACUCCUACGGGAGGCAGCAGUAGGGAAUCUUCCGCAAUGGGCGAAAGCCUGACGGAGCAACGCCGCGUGAGUGAUGAAGGUCUUCGGAUCGUAAAACUCUGUUAUUAGGGAAGAACAAAUGUGUAAGUAACUAUGCACGUCUUGACGGUACCUAAUCAGAAAGCCACGGCUAACUACGU
RNAcentral lists this ribosomal RNA (496 nucleotides) under uncultured bacterium. RNAcentral's name for it is "partial 16S ribosomal RNA". It matches the Rfam family "Bacterial small subunit ribosomal RNA", at positions 28 to 506 of the family's 1533-position model. The record is from RNAcentral.